This 577-nucleotide ribosomal RNA is filed under the name uncultured bacterium. RNAcentral's name for it is "bacterial SSU rRNA". It matches the Rfam family "Bacterial small subunit ribosomal RNA", at positions 338 to 916 of the family's 1533-position model. The record is from RNAcentral.
CCUACGGGAGGCAGCAGUAAGGAAUAUUGGUCAAUGGGCGCAAGCCUGAACCAGCCAUGCCGCGUGCAGGAAGACGGCCCUACGGGUUGUAAACUGCUUUUGUACCGGAAUAAACCCCCGAUCGUGAUCGGGGCUGAAUGUACGGUAAGAAUAAGGAUCGGCUAACUCCGUGCCAGCAGCCGCGGUAAUACGGAGGAUCCAAGCGUUAUCCGGAUUUAUUGGGUUUAAAGGGUGCGUAGGCGGCCUGUUAAGUCAGGGGUGAAAGACGGUAGCUUAACUAUCGCAGUGCCUUUGAUACUGACGGGCUUGAAUGUACUUGAGGUAGGCGGAAUGUGACAAGUAGCGGUGAAAUGCAUAGAUAUGUCACAGAACACCAAUUGCGAAGGCAGCUUACUAAAGUAUGAUUGACGCUGAGGCACGAAAGCGUGGGGAUCAAACAGGAUUAGAUACCCUGGUAGUCCACGCCCUAAACGAUGAAUACUCGAUGUUGGCGAUAUACGGCCAGCGUCUAAGCGAAAGCGUUAAGUAUUCCACCUGGGGAGUACGCCCGCAAGGUGAAACUCAAAUGAAUUGACGG